GUAGUAUUCCCUCCGUCCCAAAAUUCUUGUCUUACAUUUGUUUAGAUAUAGAUGUAUCUAACACUAAAAUGUAACUAGAUACAUCCGUAUUUAGACAAAUUUAAGACAAGAAUUUUGGGACAGAGGGAGUACAAA
This is a non-coding RNA of Triticum aestivum (bread wheat), 135 nucleotides long. NCBI's taxonomy places the organism in Eukaryota, Viridiplantae, Streptophyta, Magnoliopsida, Poales, Poaceae. The record is from Rfam.